Molecule: ribosomal RNA, 817 nt
Filed under: Bacillus thuringiensis
Lineage: Bacteria; Bacillati; Bacillota; Bacilli; Caryophanales; Bacillaceae
Description: bacterial SSU rRNA
Rfam family: Bacterial small subunit ribosomal RNA
Source: RNAcentral
UUUUAGUUUGAUCAUGGCUCAGGAUGAACGCUGGCGGCGUGCCUAAUACAUGCAAGUCGAGCGAAUGGAUUAAGAGCUUGCUCUUAUGAAGUUAGCGGCGGACGGGUGAGUAACACGUGGGUAACCUGCCCAUAAGACUGGGAUAACUCCGGGAAACCGGGGCUAAUACCGGAUAACAUUUUGAACCGCAUGGUUCGAAAUUGAAAGGCGGCUUCGGCUGUCACUUAUGGAUGGACCCGCGUCGCAUUAGCUAGUUGGUGAGGUAACGGCUCACCAAGGCAACGAUGCGUAGCCGACCUGAGAGGGUGAUCGGCCACACUGGGACUGAGACACGGCCCAGACUCCUACGGGAGGCAGCAGUAGGGAAUCUUCCGCAAUGGACGAAAGUCUGACGGAGCAACGCCGCGUGAGUGAUGAAGGCUUUCGGGUCGUAAAACUCUGUUGUUAGGGAAGAACAAGUGCUAGUUGAAUAAGCUGGCACCUUGACGGUACCUAACCAGAAAGCCACGGCUAACUACGUGCCAGCAGCCGCGGUAAUACGUAGGUGGCAAGCGUUAUCCGGAAUUAUUGGGCGUAAAGCGCGCGCAGGUGGUUUCUUAAGUCUGAUGUGAAAGCCCACGGCUCAACCGUGGAGGGUCAUUGGAAACUGGGAGACUUGAGUGCAGAAGAGGAAUAGUGGAAUUUCCAUGUGUAGCGGUGAAAUGCGUAGAGAUAUGGAGGAACACCAGUGGCGAAGGCGACUUUCUGGUCUGUAACUGACACUGAGGCGCGAAAGCGUGGGGAGCAAACAGGAUUAGAUACCCUUGGUAGUCCAAAA